CAGCAGGAUGCCAGUAUACUCAUCCCCUAAAACCUUCGGGUUGAACCUGGAAGACUGGAAGCCUCAGUGUACUACAGUUCAAAAGAAGCCUCUUUCCGCGUUUGUCACUUCUCUAUGCCUACGUUCUACAUCAUCUGUUGGAACGCCACUCUGUCAUGAACACAGACUAUUGAAAAAUAACACCUAUUCACUGCCAUCAUAAAGCUUGGAACAGCCAGGGCAUUUUUUCAUAUAACUCUGGUUGUAUUCAUCUGAAAGAAGAAAGUCAUAUACAUCUAGGAUGCC
Molecule: long non-coding RNA, 285 nt
Organism: Labeo rohita (rohu)
Lineage: Eukaryota; Metazoa; Chordata; Actinopteri; Cypriniformes; Cyprinidae
Exons: 3
Source: RefSeq, a predicted model, not a curated record